Molecule: long non-coding RNA, 726 nt
Organism: Saccostrea cuccullata (small rock oyster)
Lineage: Eukaryota; Metazoa; Mollusca; Bivalvia; Ostreida; Ostreidae
Exons: 3
Source: RefSeq, a predicted model, not a curated record
UGAUGCACUCAAGUCACAGUCUGCAAUAGGUAGUGCUUGUAUGUGGUAUACCAGUUGCUAAUGUCCCUGGUUUUGUCUAUGCUAUAGACAAACCCAGUGGAUUAAAGAACUGAUUUGAGCCACUCACUCAUAAAACUUCAGACUGUGACUUGUACUCAAUCUUGGCUGUGAUAGAAGCCAAGAAACAACACCAAUUAAAGUAUACUAGCCAGCACUACAUGACGUGAAGAUGUUGAAUAUGAUGAGCAUGGCCCACCAAGAGAGGUGUGUGCAUUGUUGAUGCACUCAAGUCACAGUCUGCAAUAGGGAGUGCUUGUACGUGGUAUACCAGUUGCUAAUGUCCCUGGUUUUGUCUAUGCUAUAGACAAUCCCAGUGGAUUAAAAAGAACUGAUUUGAGCCACUCACUCAUAAAACUUCAGACUGUGACUUGUACUCAAUCUUGGCUGUGAUAGAAGCCAAGAAACAACACCAAUUGAAGUAUACUUGACAGCACUACAGGACGUGAAGAUAUUGAAUAUGAUGAGCAUGGCCCACCAAGAGAGGUGUGUGCAUUGUUGAUGCACUCAAGUCACAGUCUGCAAUAGGGAGUGCUUGUACGUGGUAUACCAGUUGCUAAUGUCCCUGGUUUUGUCUCUGCUAUAGACAAACCCAGUGGAUUAAAAAGAACUGAUUUGAGCCACUCACUCAUAAAACUUCAGACUGUGACUUGUACUCAAUCUUGGCUG